CCAAACUUCUUGUUGCUGUUCUGAGAAGCACGGAUGGGAUCAGCAUUAUGAGGGCAUGCUGGUUCCUGCAGUGCCACAGGGACAGAGCACCCACUUGAUGGAUGGACAGAGCACCUCUAGAUGGACAGAGCAUCCCUGGAGGACAUAGCAGCCCCUAGAUGGAUGGACAGAGCACCCCAAGAUGGACAGACAUAGCAGUCCCAUGAUGGACAACACAGCACCGCUGGAUGGAUAACACAGUACCUCUGGAUGGACACAGCGUGAACACAGCACCCUGGAUGGACACAGCAUGUCUGCACCAUACAAGCUCUACAGCCGGAGUGAAAAUGGAGCGAUCACCGGCGACCUUUAUAGAAUCCAAAACCCACGAGAAUCUGACAGUGGGAGGAUGACAUUAUGCUUUGCUUUGGCUUCCAAAUCAGAUUUUGCAUGACAACCUUCAGAAUGGAAUCCUCAUUAUAUUGAUCCCUCUGGAUUGCAACAGUUCAGACAGAACAGUGAAUGUCAUUACCAUAUCCUGUAUGUUCCUCUUCUAAAAAAUCCAACAAAGCAUAUUGUAAUAAAGAUUGCUUUACGACGGAGAGAGAUCUUUUCUGACUCCAUAAUGGUAAUAAAAUACCUAACAGACCAAUGCUACUCAAUACAUUUAAGAACCUUUUUCACAGCUUGAGACCUUUU
Long non-coding RNA from Pseudophryne corroboree (corroboree frog), 678 nucleotides. RefSeq lists it as uncharacterized. The record is from RefSeq and is a predicted model, not a curated record. The transcript has 3 exons. NCBI's taxonomy places the organism in Eukaryota, Metazoa, Chordata, Amphibia, Anura, Myobatrachidae.